CCGCCCUCCGCAUUCCCCCGCUCUUUGUUUCUCCGCGUUUCCGAGUUGGGCUGCCUUUCCCCGGGGGAGGCAGUUAACUUAAUGAGGUAGCGCUGCUCUGAUUGUUUCAGGAGAUGCAGGCGGUGCCCAUCCCCGCGCCCGGCCCCGUCCGAUCCCGCCGGAUAAAUCACGCUGAUUUAAAAUUGAUCGUUCUGGGAUGUGGGAGAAAGUGGAGUGGGCGGAUUUACCCUAUUAGGGUGCAUUGAUCACCAUUACUGCGUGUAAUCAGGGUUAAUCUCAGGAUUAAUUGGGGGGAUUUGCUGAUGGAAACGAUCGGCAAUUUGUGUUAGUUACUGCUCUAUUCGCCUCUAAUGGCUUAAUCAGAUUACAAAUUAAAAGUGGCUUCUUCCAGAGAAUCUCCCUGGACUUGAGCAGCAGACAGAGCGUGAGGAGGGAGGCGCAUCCAGAGCAUAUGGUUUGCAGCCCGGAGCUCAAUUAGCCCGACAGGAGGAUGGAUGGGAGAGCACUGCGUGCCCGGGGCCGGGCUGGGAACCCCUCCGAAGCACGGGGAGCUCCUGGCGGUGCGUUUUGUUCGAUGGUUUCUCUGGGCAGGGGGAGAACCCGGCCCUCAGCGUGUGCUGUGCUCAGAGCAGCAUCUGGUGGGGGCUGCGGGCUGCGGAAGCGGCACUCGGCUGUUGUGUCACACGGAAAAUCUUUUGGAGGGAACGGGUGGAAUUUCAGCUCGGCAAACCAUUAAAAUAGCAGUGAUCCUGCACCAAAUAAAUUAAGGCUGAUGAUCUGAGACUGGUAAAGCUAAUGAUAGAAAGGGGUCCUGUCCUGGGGAGAGAUUUGUCUAGCAGGAGCUGAGCUGAGAGCAUCUGAACUCCAUUAGCACUGAGGGCUAUAAAGGCAGCACAGUCUGCCCGUGAGCACCUCGGCUGGAGGGUGUGGGAGCCCUGCAGUGGUACCACUCAUCUCACGUGGGGAUGCAGCACCCACCAACAGGUCACAGCAGGGAGGGAUUUGGAGCUGUCAAGCCCGGCUCCCUGUGUGAAAGCACAAAAUGCAUCUUUGGUUUGGAAGUCUGCUCCCAUUACUUCACCCUUGCAGGUGGGGUUGGUUCUAAGUGGGGGGGGGGGGGCUCAGCUCGUUCCUCACCUGGGCUGAUAUCGGUUGGGUUUGUGAUACGUGGCAGUCAGACAGAAGUGUUGGGGGUCUAUUUAUUCUGCUGUUUAUAAAGACAUUUGCAAACCUGAGGGGGGGAAAAAAAAAGAAAGUGAACGUUUCAAGUGGCUGCUGACAAGUUAGAGCAGUUUAAUAAAUCACUCAUAAUAAACUACUUUACGUGUGGAGAGAAACACCACGGACUUCUUUAAUAAGCCAUUCAUGAUGGAGCAGGCAACGCUUAGAGAACAGAAAUUCAUUUGUGGGUCUUGGUGAUGUGUUCCCACUGUUCCCUGCUGCGAAUCUCUUGCCAGGUAUGUCUGCGUCGGUGCGCCCAUCUGGGCUGCGUGUAAAUCUGCUGCUAAGUCUGUAACUCACAGGGAGGGCAUCUCUGCCAGGAGCCGCUGCUCAUCAAUUACAGGCAGAGCGGGACAGGCAGCCCAUUCCUCACUCCCUGCCGACACCACGGCCUCUUCCACAGCCGCUUUAUCUCCCACUGAGCUGGCCCAGACGAAGCCUUUUACAGGGAGUGCAUCAGGCAGCCCCAUGCUUCUGCUGUUGCUCUAAACCCACAUCUCACUUUGGAUUAUGUAAUGGCACUCCCUGCUUUUAGUGCAUCCAGCGGAGGCAGCUGCUGCCUGUCACUUUUUCCAAGGCUUGGAAAUGCAGAUGGACCCUGUGGGUCAUGAGGCUGCAUUUGUGGAGGGGAGAGGCAAAGAGCAGACUGCGUUUCGGGACUGAAAAGCGUGUUCGGGUGCAGAGGGGCAUCUGUGGAUCCUGGUGGUGCUGGGGCUGCCCGUGGGAUUUGACCCAGGACAGCUUGUUGAGCUGAGCCCCUCGCAGUACCCAGCAGCAUAUAUAAGAAAGUGCUCCAAAAUCAGGCUGGAUGCUGGUGGAGGUGAGCGUUACUGUGGUGAGGUCAGGGUUCCUGCUGCAUCACAUUGCUUGGGGGAAAGCCUGGCCCUCCGGAGCCUAUUGUAUGGAGGGGGGAAGGAGAACUUCAUUUUUCUCUUAGUCUUCAGACUCAGCUUAGGUUGGGGGAUCUGCAAGUGCUUUGUGCACGCCAGGCUUUUAAAGGGACCUGAUGGCGGCUUCGGAAAUGUCAGGCAUUGUUCUGUCUAUCCUGGAGCAAUUGUAAGAAAAGGUGAAAAAAGCACUGCUCAAAUAGAGGCGAGACUCCGACUUGACUUUGAACACUGCCUUUGUUAUUGUGCUCCUCGGGCUAUGUGGUGUUUUAUGAAGGCCCUGCAAGAAAUUGCAAUAAAUAUCUCCUGUUUCUAAUGUACGUACCUUCAGAAAUGCAAACAAAAAAGGAGGAGAUGGUCAGCAGUCCUCGCGCACAUUUAGUUGUUGCAAGCUAAGGAUUCCAGGGGAAACAGCACAAUAGGAUCUGUAGAAACAUUUCCUAAGUGGAAAAAAUAAGCAAUUAUUCUUAAAUGAAAUGACUAUGUUAGUAUUUCUUUUUAGCAUGUACACGCUGACAUAUGGUGUAUACGAGGACACCUCUCCCUCCUCGCAGCGUUGGCUCUGAGGAGACACAACUGUGUCUGAGUGCUUUCCUCUGCCAGGUGCAGCUCCUGAAACCCCUUGGCAAGAGUGAGUGGGGCUGCUCUGCUAUUUGUUUUCUACUGUUUCUUUAUUAAAAAGCUCCAGAGCCAGGCAGGCUUGCUUUGUUCAGUACUUUAUUGCUGCCUCAGUUCACCCUGCCUGAUAAACGCAUUGGCUGGUGCCGGAGCAGGGCGCUCCUUCUGGCUCACCAUGCUGCCAUUCUUCCCUCUGCUGCCAACGUGAGGACCAGGCCUUGGGGUGCUCAGCACCGGCCCUUGUUCCCACAGCUUUGCUUCCCUGGCCAGGAGAGCUCUUGGCUGCUGCUUGGUGGGUGAGCCACACGCUUUUAUGGUCGCGAUUAUUGCUCUGUGCUCCUCUCUCCAUUUUGGAGGAGGUUGAAGAGAAAGCACUCAGAAAACAGUUUUGGUGCUUGGCAAGGCGGCUGGAGACCCCAUCUGUUGCUUCUUACAUUGUUAAGCUGCUCUUUGCUUCCCAUGCCAGCCUGGUUUCUGUUAAAUGAAGCCUCCCCAGGUCACGAGAGCCAAGCGGUUCCUAAAUUAGCAAAGACAUUAAUCAGGUCCCAUUUGGACUAGUGCAGGGUGUCUACGCCCUCACCCUACCCUCCAUAAAUUAAGCAGGUUUUAUAUCUUCAAGGCUCUUCUGGAAUUAUGUCCUUUCUGCCCUCCACCCCCUUCUCAAUUGCUGGUGACAAGUAUACACAGCUUAAUUGGUUGGCAUGGAAAAGGGCUGACAUUAAUUGGCUGUGUUUGGCACACAGACUCCCCAUCUUGCAGCGCCUCCCAGGGAUCUUAUCAACCCCAUCUCCGAGCCCAGCAGCUCACAGCUUGCCUGCCAACUCAAUGGGGUUUGGUUCUGUGCUUCCGAUGACUGAGAUUUUGCUUGGCUUCCUGGAGCUUUGGCUGGGGAAGAGCAGCUCUCACACCACAGCUGGCAGUGCAUGAGGGUGGGAGGGAUCUGCAGGCAUCACAGCCCUGCAGGGUGCCUGGCUCUGCACCUCCCCCCCUUCUUCUGUAGGGUAGGUGCUGAGUGGGCACCCAGCUCCUGCCCCACAGCUUCUCCAUGAGUCCUCCCAGGUUCAGCUUCCACGCAACCCCUCCCAUGCACUUAUACAGGGUAGGAAAUGAGCUGUACGUUCACGCUCUUGGAAGCUGUGAGUAUGUGUAUGUUGGGCCUCUGACAAGUUUAAAUAGCUAAUUAACUUAUUUUAAGGAACCACUAAAUUUGUCCCUUAUCCUGAUUGGUUUUUUGCAUGCCUCUCUUUACCUGAUUAAUUCUUAGCCCAUCUUCGUAAUUAACGGCGUGAAAGAGAGCAGCUGUUCCUCCUCCAAACAAUCUUUUCACCAUCAGGGAACAAUUCCUGCACUGGGAUGGGCAGGAAGUUUCUGGUAGCUCUAACUAUAAAAAUAAUUUGAUGCUUCUUUUAUUACCUGGUUAUGACUGCCUGUUUUCACUGUACUUACCUAAUAGGGUCCUAAAUAGCCCUGAAUCCCUCCUCGGUGCCAUCAGCAGUGCUGUAUCAGCGCUGGUGGCUGAGCUUAAUGGCACUGGGAGCGAUGAGGCGGUGCUGCAAAGCAGAGCACGGUUGGGAGGGUGGGAUUGGGCAGCUCUGCUCUACGGGAGAUUCUGUUGUGGGUUUCUUUAAUUCAGAUGUGUGACAUCUUCCCUUCAGUUUGAUUUCUUUUUUCAAAUGACACUUUCAGGCUCCCACCUCCCAUGGGCUUUCCAUGAGCACCUGAUAGCAGCGUGUCAGGAGGCUGAACAAUAUUCAGCCCAAGUUCCCUUUUAUUAAAGCGGUCCCCUCGCUCUUAGCAGCGUGUAGGAGCCUUCUUCCCCCACUGUGGUUUUGCACUCGGGCUGUUUGCAGGGUGCUGUCAUCCCCUCCUCCGCUGCUGCUUGCCUGAAGAAGGCAGAUACUGCUCUUAAAACACUUCUGUACAAAUUCCUCCGGCCUUUGGAUCACUGCAGCCUCCCCUUAAGCUCCUCUCAGUCUAUCAGUAUCUUCUCUGGUAAUUAUAUGUGUAAAGAGCAGACGAUGGCUCCGUUUUAAUAGACCCACUCCAGCCCAGUAUAAACACGGCAACACCUAUACAGAAAACAGCCCCCAGCCCUACUUGGAGAGCUUUCUGCUCCAUCCCCAGCUACCUUCUCCCAUGGGGAGUGCAUGAGGAGCACGAGCUGCAGCUGAUGGCUCCUGGCAGCCCUUGGAGGGCAGCAGGGUGCAUUUCACACCAAGGCAGUGCCAAGGGGUGCGGGCAGUACGGUUGGCUUGCUCACCCUCUGAGCCUUGUGGAUGUAAAAUUGAAUGCAGACAAGCAUCCAUGAGGUGUCUAGGGACUCUUGGGGGUCUGUGAGGGCUGUAGGGGCUCUCUCCUGGCCAGGACUGCUGAGUGCUAACAUUAUCCUUCCCCAAAUGCAGGAAAGAGCCUGUAGAGGAAAUGCUAAGUCACAGCUUGAUGCAGUGAUGGAGCACCUGGUGGGAAGGCAGGGACAGCCCAGAGGAGCACAGGUGUAUGCAAUGUGCCUGAGUGAUGGAAGCCAGGAUCCACCUCUUCCCAGAUCUCAUUUAAGGGUUGGCAGUGGAGGUGAGGGUGUCUUGCUGGAGAUCCCUGCCUACCUGAGACCUUCCAAAGGCCAAUGUCAGCUGGAUGAGCUCCCAGCCUGCUUCCUGGGACAGCUUGGGAGAACAGACAGCAGAGUGCAGUGUCACCGCUGCAUGGACUGCACGGAGAUGCCCCGAGUGCUGCCCAAUGCACGCAGCUGUCACCCUGCCUUGCUGCAGGCAUCAGCCCAGGCAGUUGUAGAGAAUGAUGAGGUCUCCCCUGAACCUCCAGACUGACCCAUCCCAUUCCCUCAGCUGCACCCCACAAGACUGGUGCUGCAGACCCCUCACAGCUCGGUUGCCCCUCACUGGAUGUGCAGCCACCAAUUGCUCAUAUGGUGCAUUCAACAACCGCAGGCUGCAGGGUUAUUCCUCAUACAGAAAUUGUUUGUGCUGUGACUUCAGUUCCAUUUGGUGUUGGCGGCAGUUCCCAGCCCAUGCAUUUUGACACGGAUUCUCCAACCGCUUGUAAACGCUUCCAAGCAAGGAGGAAGGUGGUGGGAAGCACAGCGCCUUGCUGCAGGCAGGAGCACAGCUGGGGAGCAGGGCAGGGAGCUGAGCCUGCCUGUCCUCACCUCCUUAUCACCACCAAAAUGGUAGGGAUGGCUGCUGCAGGCCUGGAGGUGGGUGAGCAUGGAAGGAAGGGAUGCAGAAGGACCAGCGUGGUGCUGUGCCACAUGGGAGCAGCAGAAGACAACAGGGUAAGGCAGCACAGGCAGUGCCAAUACCACCCCCCUGCUCUCUGAAACCCCCACUGAUCAGCCCCCUAUUUACAUGAAUAUGAAAUCCACUUGCAGCUUCCUAAAUAAAACAAGAACUCUUUUCUGUAGCAGAGCAUAUUACAGCCGUUUGUCACCGCAUCAUCCAGUAGGUAUUAAUUCCCAAAUCAGUUUAUGACAUGUUUUAUCAUAAGUUACUGGAGAAGGUAGCUGCAUUGAGCAAUCAUUUGAUAAACUGCACCAUAAUUUAACAUGCUCCUCCGUCAUAUUAGUGGGGAGCAAGAUUUAUUUCCUUCGUGUGACUUUAAUUAUGGAUAAUGCAAAGCAGGGAUUGAGGCGGCCGUGCUGCUGAGGUUAGCAGUGCCCUCUGUGGAGCAGAGUUUGGGUGAUGUGUGGCUUCUGUAGGACCAGGGGGUGACAAAGGUGGCUCUGGGUCAUCAGUGGCAGCUCAUCAUGGCUCAUCACGGCUUGGCACAGCUUAGCAUAGCUCAGUAUGGCUCAUCGUGUCUUGGCAUGGCUUGGCACGGCUCAACAUUACUCAACAUGGCUCAGCAAGGCUCAAAUAACUCAACGUGACUCAGCAUGGAUCAGGUGGCUUCCUUGUUCCCACAUGGGUGAGGAAUCCAAGCCAUUGAACCAUCCCAGGGCUCUGUUUGCUGCUGUCCCACCCAGGAAGGCUCCAGGUGCAGAAGGAUGCUGCACUCCUCCCUCUGCCCUUCAGCCCAUCCCUGCUGUUGGGCUAAAUUCUGGAUUACUGAAGAGUACAGGGCACGAGGGGGUGCAGAGCACAGAGGGAAGAGAUGCUGACACACACUGAGCUGAUGUCAUUUCUUUUAGUCAGGAGCUGGAGAAACACAAUCCAGUUCUCUCCCCCCACAACAGAACAAAGGAGAAAGUCCCCAAGGGGAGAUUAAAAAUAAAAACCCACAAAACGAGAGGAGAGGAACAAAAAGAAAGAAGAAAGGAAAGGACAAAGCCCUCCUCCCCUGAAGUAUCCCCUCUCUGUGUCUGACAGCUUCUCCCUUCUGCAGCUCCCAGCCCCGCUCAACCUUACAGUGCCAUAAAACAGAGUUUGUGGCGUGUUCAAUCGAUUAUUCCUCCUAAUGCACUGUUUUUGGAGACAGGUAAUUUAUUUCAGAUUCUACAUGUCUGCAUGCAAAAAAAAAAAAGAAAAAAAAAACUCCCUUUUUUCUCUUUCUUCCCCUUUUUAUUGACAGGCAUUUUUUGCCCUGUGCCCCCAUUCCCUCCUGCCCCCCUCUGAACCCCCUCAGACGCAGUGUUUCCCAGUGGAAGCUGCAGCCAUUCUCACAGUGAAACCCAAGGCAGGUAAUGACUUUCUCACCCCAUCCAUACUGCAGCAGGAACUGCUGCCUCUCCAGCUGCAUCCCUUUAUUUCGGACAAGGGGGAGGGGGAGGUGCCAGCUCUCUCCUCUUCCCUCUCCUCAAAGGUCUCUUUAAAAAGGGAGAAAAAAAAAAAAGAGAUGUAAAGGGAGCAAGUGUGUGCAGAAAUGGCGUUUCCAUUAGGUGAUGGGUUUGGGGCAGUAGGCAUACCAUGCCUCAAAGGGUUUCCAUGCUACGUAAGCUCUGGUCUCCCUGGAUCUGAGGAAAUUGCCCAUCCUGUGCAGCUUUACUGUGAAAAGCCCCAGAUCGAUCGGUCUGUAAUUCCUUUGGUUAUAAUUUGCCUCUCCAGACUGGUGGAGGAGCUGAGCCUCUGUGGGGGCAUCUCGAGGGUGGGACAUGGCCACUGUGGGAACUCCUUGAGACUGAGCCCCUGGCUUUGCUAUUGUUUCCAAUUAGGGGAGUGGGAGAGAUUUUGAUCACAUAAUGAAAAAAGCAUUGUGAGGGGAAACAAUAAAUAUCAGGGAACAGGGGAGGAAGAGGGAGGGAGAUACUGACGAAAAACGUAAACUUUGCCAUCCACCAGCCCUGUAUUGCUGGGGCUCAGUGAAACCCUAACCCUGCUCUGCUGAAGCAAUCACCCCUGUCUGAAACAGGCGAAUUCCAGGAGCUGGGGCUGCAGCUCUCUGGGGCUGAGGCUGCCAGGGUAGCUGUGCAGGGUCCAAAUCUCUGCCCCAAAUCCCUUUGCAUGGUCACAGUCCUCCCUUUUCCCCUUCCCGCAGCAAUGUGCCACUUCUGAGACCUCUCAGCACCCAUUACAAUGGUUUGUUCAAUGAGGAGGGAUGCAUGCAGACCAGCAGCCGCUUCAUCCUCGCUACUCUGGCCCAUCCCUCAGCCCCAUGCCCACAGAUUGGGCCAUCCUCAGCUCAGAACUGACUCUUCCCAUGUCCGUGGGCUGCUCAUGGCCUGCUGCUAGCAGCAGGAGGUUUCCUCUCUGCCUUUCAGAGGCUGGAAAAGAACAGGGAAAUCUUUCCCACUCAAGCAGCAGGUGCAUGUGCGGUCAGCUCACGUCCCGUGGGCUCCCGGCUGUAAUUUCAAGCACGAGCAUGUUGCUGACUGGGGAAUUGGGGAACAGCGAGGGCAGGAGGAAUGUUUUGCUCAGGAAGCUAUAAGUACACUUUAGGAGGUUUGGGACUGAGGACAGGGGCAGCCCUGUGCUCCCUUUGGCUCAUGCUACUCCCACCACUGCCUGUCUUCAUGGCAGCUCCUCAGGAUCAAAGCCUGCCUGAGCCCUGUGCAUCUGCCUGCUGCUCUGGGAUGGGACCCUGGGCCAGGUGGAUGCUGCCAGCCUUCAGACACUGCCUACAGAUCUCCCACCUCUGAAAGGAACUCAAUAAAGCGGGACUGGUGGAGCAAUUAGGAUGCAAGUCCCUCAUCACACCUUCUCACUAGGGGUCCCAAGGUGAGCACAGGGACAAACCUGGUGAGUGCGGUGUGGGGCUCAGCACAUAAAUGGCAGCCACUCAGCUGCACUGUGCCAUCCCUGUGCCUGUGCACCACAUCCUCACCACCACAGGGACCUGGAUUUGGCAGUGAUGAGUGUUUUGUAGCCAUCAUAUGCUGUGGGUGAGGCAGAGCUAAGGGCCUUCCUAUCCUCUUGGCCGCAUCUCCUCCAACAGCCCCUGAACGCAUCAAACUCCAUCCCGUCUGUGCUCUUGCAGCCAAUCAUCCACUUGCAUGCUGGGGGCUGUGCCAGCAGUGCAUGGAUCUGCUCAGCACCUCAGCAGCAGCUCAGCUUUGGGGUGCAGGUGAGUCAGCAAUCUGCUCUGCGCAGUGGUAUUUCUAUGUUAAGCUGCUGAAGUUUUGGUAAAUAUACAGCCAUGCACCAGGAGCCUGCAAGACAAACCAUCUCGUUGGGAAUUUGGAGGAGAACAACAAAAAUGAUUAAGCGGCUGGAGGGAUUGACUUAUGAAGAGAGAUUAAAAGAGCUAAAUCUGUCUAGCUAGGCUACCCGACAUCCGUGGCGAGAUCUGAUAACUAUCUACAAGGAUAUGAGGGGCGUAAAUCACAGCUUGGGGGACUGGUGGGGGGCAGCCCUGGGAGAUUACUGGCAGCAACAGCCGUAAGUGGAGCACAGGAAAAAGCAUCAUCUAGGAGAGAUCUGGUGAGGGCUGCCGGGCUGGAGCAAAGUACAGGGACAGAACCCAUAUCCAGCCCUGAGGCAGCACCAGCAGUGAGUUGAGGAAUCCCUCCAGCUCCUGGGAACACAGGCUGGGAUGCUGGCAAUGGAGGGGCUUAAGUCUCUGUCAGUUAAAUGCAGCCCUGGAGGAGAGUGCCAUGUUACGGACAGCCAGGGAUGUGUGCCCAUUUUGGUAGGGAUGGCACAGUGAAUGCUCCCUGUGUGCUGUGAUCUGCAGCAAAGCAAAAGAAAAUACCAGCUGUGGAAACUGGAUUUUCCACAGGCAGGUGCUAGGUACGAGAUGUGAGGUCUGAUGGAGGCUUGUUAAAACACUCGCUGGGAUUUUUCACGGUGCAGCCAACACCAAAAGCUGAUUCAUUCCCAUCGAUCUCAUAGAGCAGUGCCACUCACAUGAGCACCUCAGAGCCAAUGGGACAACCUGAGCGUGUCCCACUGAGAGAGAGCAGCGUAGGUCAGCUCCUCAGGUGGUUCAGGGCUGCUGCAGGGGGAUCACAUCUCCGGCUGAUGAUCUCCAACUGCCUUCAGGAGAUGAUGGCAGAGCUGCCUUCACCCAGGGAGCAUCCCCAGGCUGGAGAAGCAGAGGGUAAAGCUCAAGUGAUUUUGUGAGGUUCAGUGACAACCUGGCUUGGCACUGCCUUGUGGCUUUGCUGCUGCUCUGGAGCCACUGGAGCUGCUGGGGAUGAGGGUUCCUGGUGGACUCUGUACGCUCCACAAACAGCAGUGCCAUGGCUCUGUCCAAAAUGAAUUCCCAUAGAGCUGAACAGGGAUGCUGAGGAAGCAUCCAGAGAUGCAGCAGCUGACAAAUAAAGGGAAUAUUUCUGAUGGUUUCAGGUAAUGCUCAGCUCCCACACACUGCUACAUCUGAUUAGGUUUUAGGAACAUUUAAUCUGCACUCUUUCUCUAGCAAGGUUUCAGCUCCAUUCCUGCAGUUGUCCCUCCUGUCUGCUGCAUGGCUGAGCUGCAUCCCCCUGUCCCUGUCCUCCCCGUGCCCCGGCACCACACCCAACCUCCCUGUGUAUGCUGAGCUCCAGCAGCUUGUGCUGGGAGCUGCUGGCUGGGACCAGCCGGAGGCAGGGAGCAGACAAGGGCUCAGUGCUGCCCAUGGCCAUGUGCCUGUUGUUAUGCCUUUGCCAUCUUCCAGCCAAGGCACCCGCCCAGCACUAGCUGAAAUGGGUGGAAACUCCCUUCAAUCAGCAGUGCAUGCUGCAGCAGCAUAGGGCUAACAGAGUAAUUCACACUGAAUAAUUCACUCGAGACUUUUCUACUCCAGGCAGUUCAUAAUUCCUCAUGUGGAGCAGUGUUUGCGUUUGCAGAAAUGAGAGCUGUGCAGCUUCCCCCUGCCCACGUCCCCAGGAGUUUCUCUAUUUGCUGCCUGGAUGAAUUACUCAGUGCCGGGGUGCGCUCCGAACCCGACAGCUGGGUGGCUGAGGGGGCACUCGUGUUUACUGUUGUUUAUUUUCUCAAAUAUUUGUGUAUCACAGAAGCAAAAAUGAACCAGAGGAAAGCUGCCCAGCGGUGCUCAGGAAGAUGAAUUUCCCAUCCCUGCAGCGGUCUUCAGCCCCACCUGCAGCAUCCCGUCUGCAGGGACCAGUGCCAAGCCCUGUGCUCCCCUCCCCUCCAUGUCCUGGGCUCUGGACCCCCAGAGCAGUGCAGCUCUUCACAUGGUGACCUGCCCAUAGGAGCUCCCAAGCCUCUCAUCUCUCUUCCCACAAGCCCAGGCUUUCCAAAUGACAAAUUGUUUUUGCCUUUAAUUCCAGCUUGCCUGGCAUCCUCAACGGCAGCAGCCCUCCGCAGAAAGCAGCAGGUUCUUUACAGCCAGCGGGAGGUGGCUUUUCCUCUUCUCUCCUCUCUCUCCCCCUUGCCUUAAUUGCAGCCCAACAUGGGCUUUCGAGGUGUAUUAAACAUACAAAUUAUUCUGCAAAGCCUCAUGAAGCACCAGUUACCAAGGCCUCUAAUGGGAAAUGACAGCACAACCAGAGCAGCCGUUAAGGCACAGCACUGUCUGCAGCAGCUCUGGCAGCGCAGGCUCUCUGCGGGCAUGGGGUCCCUGCAUGGGCACCCCCAAGGAUGGGGGGCUCUCAGCUUCCCCACCUGUACCUGCAAUAUUGCAUUCGGGGCUGGAAUGAUGCUGAUGGAUUGGAGAGAGUUCAGAGGAGAGCCGGGAAUGUAAUCAAGGAGCUGGAGGGCAUGAUUUAUAUGGCAAGUUUAAAAGGGCUGCAUAAUAGCAACAAUAAUAAGCGCUCACAGCGCGCAGUGGUUUUCAUCUUUGCACUCAAACGAAGCUAACUUAUACUACGCCCAACUGCAUUAACAACUUAACUGCAUCUAGCUCAGCCUGUCGAUUGCAGGAGGGAUAUGAGAACCAUCUACAGGGCACGUCAGAGCCCAAGUGUCACAGAGCAGGGGAGUGGGCUAGGUUGGCCCAGGGGGCUGCAGAGAGCAGCAUAAAAGCACGGACAUGAGAAAAAGGAAAUGCAGGGUGAACAUCAGGAAAAACUGGCCUGCAGCAGGGAAGGGGGGCUGAAUGAGGACCUGACGGUAUCCUGCAGUGGUGAUGACACAGCAGUGACAUGGGGAUGGGUCUUCCCAUGGUGCUGGAGUGCCCCAUCGCAGGGCACAGCACAUACCCAACCUGUGCCACCACAUCCCUCCCCCUGCAGCAGCGGGAGCCAGGGCAGUGAUUUAUUGCUCCACUCCCAGUGCUCUCCCAUGAGGAAGCCGAAGCUCAGUGGUCUAAAUAUAGGGCAGUGGAACAAAGGCAAAGGUGCUGGGAGGGGUAAAUGGCCACAGGGAGAAUUUGUCCUGUGCCACCACGUGGGCAGCUGCUCUGUCGGUGACAGUGGAAGCGGGCAGGGAAAGUCCCUACCAACGAUAAUCCAACAAAGCAGAGGGAAAUUAAAAAAAGCACCUCGUUUUGCAAGCUCAUUCAUUUCGAGCCGCUCAGAGGACUGCAGGGGAAAGAUAAAUGUGGAUCCAGGCAGAGGGGAGCAGGGCAUGGCUUGAGUCUGCAGGAAGAUUUAGGGCCUUGAAGUCCAAAAGCAGGGCUUGAUCGUCGCAUGAGGAAAGAAAAAUCUCUGGGAGUGGAUAUCAUGUUAAACAAUGUGUUGUAAUAAGUGUUUUAUGCUUUAGAGGAGGAGAGAGAACAGUGAAAUCCCCCGUAAGAGCUAAUUACUGCAAAUUCCUUUUCAAUAAAACAAGACCAAAAAAAAUCCCCUCUUAAUGGAAAAAUCCAUUUAACGCUCAGAUGAGGUAACUGCAGUUCAUGUCCUCACCGCGUUGUUAGUGGAAGUCAGAUGGGUUCUCCGGGCUCUGUGGCUGGGGAGCAGGUGUGGGGCUGAGGUGUGGCAGUGUGGGGCAGGGACACCCCCAGGGCUUUGUGGUGCACCCAGGAGACAAUGAUGGAGCCGGGGGGACCCUUGGGGUUUGCCUGCAGUGGGACACAGGCAGGACUGGGGGCACCCCUGUGUGGCAGCACCCUGAGAUCCUCUGACACUGCACUGCAGGUCCAACCCAAUUAAAAUGAAAUGAAGAAUUGAAUUAAGAGUGGAUUUACCUCCUUGUCUGAUAGUCUGUAUUUCCCUGUGACUUGAAUUGAGGCCGGUCUGAUGGAUUUCUUGCACAUGGGAGCAAUGUAUUGAAUUACAUGUAUGUCCAGUAUUUAGGAGAGAUACAUUUCUUUUCCACAUGUUCAUGCAGCUGCAUGACCCCAGGAAACCCAGCAGUGGGGUCUGUCUUUGGAGACAAAUAGGGAUUGUUUCGUGUGUGUGUGUAAAUACCUCCCUCCCCCUCUGCUCCCCAGACUGUGUGUGUGUGUAUGUGUGUGUGUGUGUGCGUGUGUGCAUGCACGUGCACCGGGCACUGCUCCCCACUGAACAUAUCCUCAUGCCUCCCAAGCCAACCAGCACAAGAACAGCAAUUCAUUCACCACAAGCCCAUGGGAUGGAAAUAUUUCUCGCCCUCUCCCCUGCCCCAGGGAUAUCCCGGUGCUGGGGCUGCUUUGCUGCCCUAUGCAUGGAAGGAGGAGCAGAGCACACCGUGCUCCUGGGCAGCAGUGCCUGCAUCCCCCUCGCUCAGCGAACCCACGGAGAGGGAUCCGCCCCAGUGGGAAGGAGGAAGAAACCCGUCCUGUAGGAAUCAACGUGGGAGUGGCUGCGGCUCUUCCAGCUGCUGGCAUUCAAAGGGAUCUGUCCUUUUCAUCCCCCGUGCCAUCAGUCAGCAGCCGCAGGCCGGCCAGAAAGGAAGGAGGCUUUGUUGAUAAGAUCUGGAGCUUUUGAGAAAAUAAAAGCAGA
Gallus gallus (chicken) is the source of this 13857-nucleotide RNA transcript. RefSeq lists it as uncharacterized. The transcript is spliced from 4 exons. NCBI's taxonomy places the organism in Eukaryota, Metazoa, Chordata, Aves, Galliformes, Phasianidae. The record is from RefSeq and is a predicted model, not a curated record.